Molecule: long non-coding RNA, 1057 nt
Organism: Trichomycterus rosablanca
Lineage: Eukaryota; Metazoa; Chordata; Actinopteri; Siluriformes; Trichomycteridae
Exons: 3
Source: RefSeq, a predicted model, not a curated record
ACCAGGAUUAUGACUUUGACCUACAUGUGAAGGAACAGUAUGGGGUUUCUGGGUCCAUAAGAGAGCGAGCACUGAGCCAGUGGGAAUGGAGUUGUUUAUGAGCAUGAAUAGUUUACAGUAAGCAGUGACAACCUGAUUAUUCACCUUGACACAAUUCAUCCAUAACACUUCUGAAAUCUGAUCCUGUGUUCACACGGGUGGCGGAAGCGAGCCUGUAUUAAUUCACUAGCAGUUCAGGUUCAGUUCACGAUUCCCCUCAACUGUGAACCUCAACUGUUGGUACUCUUAAGCUCUCUUAUUUUGGACUCAUUAUGGGAAGAGUUGAAGGUAAAAGAGGAAGAGGAUGGCCAGAAACAAGAUAGAAUAGAAUAGAGAAACACUAACAAUACAUUCGCCAGGAGUCGACGUGAAGAACAAAUUAAAUGGAAAAAAAAACCCAGUCAUACAUGGAGGAGUUAAAGGUAAAAGAGGAAGAGGACAGCCAGCAACAAGAUAGAUGGAUACAAUUAGAGGAACAAACCAUGACCAAGCCAUAAAGAAGCCUGAAGACCCAAAUAGAAUAUGGGAUAGUCUAGAGAAACGUUGUUGGUUCAAACCCCACCACUGCCAGGUUGCCAUUGUAACAAGCAAGGCCGUCAAUUGUUUAAACAAUAUACUGUCACAGUACGUCGCUUUGGAUAAAAGCGUCUCCUAAAUGCUAAAAAUGUAAACAUACUACUAAUAAUAAUGUGGGCGGCACGGUGGCUAAGUGGGUAGCACUGUCGCCUCACAGCAGGGAGGUCCUGGGUUCGAUCCCCCGUUGGGGCGGUCUGGGUCCUUUCUGUGUGGAGUUUGCAUGUUCUCCCCAUGCCUGCGUGGGUUUGCUCUGGGUGCUCCAGUUUCCUCCCACAGUCCAAAGACGUGCAAGUGAGGUGAAUUGGAGACACUAAAUUGUCCCAGACUGUGUUCAAUAUAACCUUGUUAACUAAUGAACCUUGUGUAAUGAGUAACUAUCGUUUCUGUCAUGAAUGUAACCAAAAGUGUGACGUUACAUGACGUUAAAAUCGUAAUAAAACAA